UACGUAGGGUGCGAGCGUUGUCCGGAAUUAUUGGGCGUAAAGGGCUCGUAGGUGGUUUGUCGCGUUGUUCGUGAAAACUCACAGCUUAACUGUGGGCGUGCGGGCGAUACGGGCAGACUUGAGUACUGCAGGGGAGACUGGAAUUCCUGGUGUAGCGGUGGAAUGCGCAGAUAUCAGGAGGAACACCGGUGGCGAAGGCGGGUCUCUGGGCAGUAACUGACGCUGAGGAGCGAAAGCGUGGGGAGCGAACAGG
RNAcentral lists this ribosomal RNA (253 nucleotides) under uncultured bacterium. RNAcentral describes it as "partial 16S ribosomal RNA". It matches the Rfam family "Bacterial small subunit ribosomal RNA", at positions 524 to 776 of the family's 1533-position model. The record is from RNAcentral.